Paramormyrops kingsleyae is the source of this 980-nucleotide long non-coding RNA. RefSeq lists it as uncharacterized. NCBI's taxonomy places the organism in Eukaryota, Metazoa, Chordata, Actinopteri, Osteoglossiformes, Mormyridae. The record is from RefSeq and is a predicted model, not a curated record.
GUUAAAAUUGUCUACCAUCUCUGAGUCUGAGACUGGCAUUCAAGUUUCUACCUCGUUCAACCUCUGAAGAGGUCAACAGAGUUCUUUUUGUACAAUUAUGCAGUUGACCAAAAGAAUUGAGCAGUUAGUAGAGACACUCCGAGUCUGCAAGUAAAACCUCAAACGAGGCAGGACCCUGAUUGGACAAAUAUUUGCAGUGGACAAGGCCAGGCAAGCAUGGGGUAACAUCUGCAUGAGAUGGUGUCAUCGUCUACAUCCCUGUCACUGGGCUUUACAGUUCCGGUCAUAUUCUAGAAUUUUGGAGGCUCUUUAUAGCCGUCCUGUACCCGCUGAAGAUAGCGAGCUGCUUUUGGGACAGUGUCAGCGCUCCGCUCGAGACAGGGAACGGUUCUCCUCUCCUGCAGCACGUGGCUGUGGAACUCCUCACACUCUGUCCUGCUAAACCUCGCUCGCUGGUGGAAGAUAUAUAUGACCACCAGCUGUAUGAUCAAAUGCUACUGGCUGCAAUGCAUGCUGGGUACAGAGGCGCCAUGCCAACGGACCAGAAAAUUGUAGCAGCUGGACAUCAGGACAGAAGAUAGGAUCAAUGCAUCAUGUAAGAGCAAGCUGGCCAUGAAUGGCAGCCGUCCAUAGCAGCAUUCAGGGAGCUGGGGGGACUUGAGCCUCAGCUUGAACAACAGAGAAACGACAUAUUCCUGCUGUUAUUUUUUUAAAUUUCUUUGAUAAUUUUAAAUAUUGUCAGAAAGCAAACAGAGAAUUACUUCGGUUGCUCUCAGCCAAACAAGUAUAAAGAAAUUAAAUGUAACUGAUAGCAAGAAUUAUACAAGAUGAGUAUACAAGAAAGCAAGAAUUAUUCAAGAUGGCUGCAGCGGGUGUUAACAUUUUUGUAUAUUUAGCUGAAACUUCUAUCCGAGGCAACAUACAUUUUUGGGAAAGCAGGGACGGACAGGUCCUGAAGCAACUAGAGGUUAAGGGCCUUA